This 308-nucleotide ribosomal RNA is filed under the name uncultured bacterium. Its description in RNAcentral is "bacterial SSU rRNA". It matches the Rfam family "Bacterial small subunit ribosomal RNA", at positions 1 to 331 of the family's 1533-position model. The record is from RNAcentral.
UCGAUUGAGUUUGAUCCUGGCUCAGGAUAAACGCUGGCGGCGUGCCUAACCCAUGCAAGUCGAGCGCUCUGUAGCAAUACAGAAAGCGGCGGAAGGGUGAGUAACACGUGGAAAUCUACCNCGNCGGAGNAAACAACCUUUCGAAAGAAAGGCUAAUACCCAAAAGGAUCCGCAAGGAUCAGAGUCGCAAGGCCUGUUGAGAGGAGUCCGCGGCCCAUCAGCUAGUUGGUGAGGUAAAAGCUUACCAAGGCUACGACGGGUAGGGGGUCUGAGAGGACGUCCCCCCACACUGGAACUGAAACACGGUC